This 103-nucleotide small nuclear RNA is filed under the name Setaria italica (foxtail millet). Lineage: Eukaryota; Viridiplantae; Streptophyta; Magnoliopsida; Poales; Poaceae. The record is from RNAcentral.
GUCUCUUCGGAGACAUCCGAUAAAAUUGGAACGAUACAGAGAAGAUUAGCAUGGCCCCUGCGCAAGGAUGACAAGCACAAAUCGAGAAAUGGUCCAAAUUUUU